This 497-nucleotide ribosomal RNA is filed under the name uncultured bacterium. Its description in RNAcentral is "partial 16S ribosomal RNA". It matches the Rfam family "Bacterial small subunit ribosomal RNA", at positions 28 to 507 of the family's 1533-position model. The record is from RNAcentral.
GAUGAACGCUGGCGGCGUGCCUAAUACAUGCAAGUCGAGCGAACAGAUAAGGAGCUUGUUCCGUUGACGUUAGCGGCGGACGGGUGAGUAACACGUGGGUAAUCUACCUAUAAGACUGGGAUAACUUCGGGAAACCGGUGCUAAUACAGCAUAACAUCUUGAACCGCAUGGUUCUAGAGUGAAAGGCGGCUUUGCUGUCACUUAUAGAUGGACCCGCGUCGUAUUAGCUAGUUGGGAGGGUAACGGUCACCCAAGGCAAGGAUACGUAGCCACCCGGAGAGGGGGACGGGCCAAACUGGAACUGAGACAGGGCCAAAACUCUUACGGGAGGAGGCAGUGGGGAACCUCCGGCAAUGGCGGAAGGCCUGACGAGGAAAGGCGGCGGGGGUGAUGAGGGUCUUGGGUUCGAAAAAUUGGGUUGUAGGGGAGAAACAAAGGGGGAAGUAACAGUGCACGAAUUGACGGUAACUAAUCAGAAAGCGACGGCUAACUACGUG